UGAUAGCUGUGAAGCGUGAGGUUGCUACAGCAAAUAUGCUGUGGGUUUUCCGUGGAGCGAAUGUCAAGUUAUGAAACUGACGACAA
RNAcentral lists this non-coding RNA (86 nucleotides) under human gut metagenome. RNAcentral describes it as "S10-Clostridia ribosomal protein leader". It matches the Rfam family "S10-Clostridia ribosomal protein leader". The record is from RNAcentral.